RNAcentral lists this unclassified non-coding RNA (238 nucleotides) under Glomus sp. Its description in RNAcentral is "partial contains 5.8S ribosomal RNA and internal transcribed spacer 2". The stretch from base 1 to 71 matches the Rfam family "5.8S ribosomal RNA", at positions 84 to 154 of the family's 154-position model. The record is from RNAcentral. Lineage: Eukaryota; Fungi; Glomeromycota; Glomeromycetes; Glomerales; Glomeraceae.
GUGAAUCAUCGAAUUUUUGAACGCAAAUUGCACUCUCUGGUAUCCCGGAGAGUAUGCCUGUUUGAGGGUCAGUUUAAAUAAAAAUCGGUGUGGUCGCUGCCUUUCGUGGUGACGCACGGGUUUUCGGUCGUAUUGCCUUCGGUUAAGUGACUUAAAAUUUUGCAUGAUUUUUUUCGAAUGUAUUUAAAUGAUUUUACGUACGUUUUCGAUACCUAAUACUAGGUGUUGACAUCCUCAU